AGAGAUGGAAGAAUUAACGCCAUUGGUGGAUGCCUUGGCAAUUUGAGACGAAGAAGGACGCUUGCUCGAGAGCGAUAACAACGAUGAGUCCUUAAGCAGACGCUAUUAAUCGUUGGUUUCCGAAUGGAGCAAUCCCCUUAGUAGUAAUACUGAGGAUCCUGCUGAUUUAUCAGUAGGAGGACAACCUGGGGAACUGAAACAUCUAAGUACCCGGAGGAAAAGAAAACAAUAUGUGAUUCUGUCAGUAGCGGCGAGCGAAAGCAGAGCAGCCUAAACCAAGACGCAAGUCGAGGUGUUGCGGGACGCAGUAGGGAGUAACAAUCGGUAAAAAAAUGUUCUGGAAAGAACAACCAAAGUGCGUGAUAGUCGCGUAUUUCAAACUGAAUGUUACCUCGAGCGAAUCUCCCAAGUACUACGAGGCACGGCAAACCUUGUAGGAAACUGGGUCGGUCACGAUCCAAGGCUAAAUACUCAAAUUGACCGAUAGUGAACAAGUACCGUGAGGGAAAGGUGAAAAGUACCCCGAGAGGGGAGUGAAAUAGUUACUGAAACCAUUGGCUAACAAACAGACAGAGUCCCGAUUUAUCGGGAUAAUGUCGUGCCUAUUGAAGAAUGAGUCAGCGAGUGCUUGAUAAUUGCAAGUUUAACCCCAUCAUUUGGGGGAAGGCGGAGCGAAAGCGAGUCUGAAUAGGGCUAUUAGCAAUUGUCAAACGACCCGAAACUAGGUGAGCUAACCAUGAGCAGGGUGAAGCGUCGCGAAAGCGAAGUGGAGGCCCGUACCCGUUGUAGGUGAAAUUACAUGGGACGACUUGUGGUUAGGGGUAAUAUGCCUAUCGAACCUAGAGAUAGCUGGUUCUCCCCGAAAUAUAUUUUGGUAUAGCCUCUGUAGUUUAAGUCGAGGGGUAGAGCACUGGAUGAGUCUUGGAGUCUUCGGAUUACUAGACCCAACCAAACUCCGAAUACUCGACGGAUAUACAGGGAGUCAGUCCUGCCCGGAUAAGCGGGUGAGGUCGAGAGGGAAACAUCCCAGAUUCUCAUCUAAGGUUCCUAAGUAAUUGUUAAGUGGUUAAGGCCGUUUAUUUUCCAAUACAGCAGGAAGGUUGGCUCAGAAGCAGCCAUCCUUUAAAGAGUGCGUAACAGCUCACCUGAAUAUUAUUGCCUUCGGGCAGUAUGGAAGAUAGGCGCCAAACAUGAUCGGAGCUAAACAAUUCACCGAAGAUAGAAAUUUUGCCGCAAGGCAAUCUGGUAGGGGAGCGUACUACAUACUGCGAAGCAGUACUGUAAGGUAUUGUGGAGUGUGUAGUAGUGAGAAUGCUGACAUGAGUAGUGUAUCUGCCGAUGAAAUAUCGGCAUGCCGAAUUUCCAAGGUUUCCUCAGCAAUGUCAAUCAACUGAGGGUUAGUCGGAUCUAAGGAGCUGCCGUCUGGUAGUUCCGAUGUACAAGUCGUUAAUAUUCGACUACUGUUUGUAACGCGUUAUCAAGUAUGAAAUGACGAAGUGUGAUAUAAGUGGCCUUCUACAUGAGGGUUUAAGCACUGAGCGCAAGUGAAGUGUCAAUACAAUCGUUCGCGAGAAUGAGAGCGCUAUAAGUUGCGUUUCCCGGAAAAGUUUUAUACUGAGUUUUACAAAUAUCCGUACCGCAAACCGACACAGGUGGAAUGGUCGAGUAGACCAAGGCAAAUGGGUAAUGGUGGUUCAAGGAACUCGGCAAAAAAGCUGAGCGUAAGUUUUUCGAUAAGCUCUGUCCCCCUUUGGGGGAUUACAACAAACGUUUAUCAACCGACUGUUUAGCAAAAACAUAGGUCUCUGCAAACCAGAAAUGGAACGUAUAGAGGCUGAAACCUGUCCAGUACUGGUAAGUUAAUCACUGUGGCUGACGUCCCCCUUUGGGGGAAACAGGUCGCGGUGCAAGCUCCAGUGAACGACAGCUCUAACCCUGAGAGUUCUAAGGUAGCGUAACCCCUUGCCGGGUAAGUUCCGGCCCGCAUGAAAGGUUUAACGAGUUGAUAACUGUCUUGAACUGCUGCCCGACGAAAUUGAAAUGGCUGUGAAGAUGCGGCCUACCUGCACCCGGACAAAAAGACCCCGGGAGCUUUACUGAAACUUGACAUUGAUAAGAAGCUUUGAACUGUUUAGUGUAGGAGGGAGACUUCGGUCGCCAAUGAAACACCUCUCUUUCAAUUCUUUGAGUCUUACCACCGCAAGGCGGGAUAGUGUUAGGCGGUCAGUUUGGCUGGGGCGGCCUACUCCAAAAAGGUAACGGAGUUGUGCAAAGGUUGGCUUACUGCGUAUAGAAAUCGCAGUUUACGUGCAAACGCAAAAGCCAGCUUAACUGUGAGAAUGACUAUUCGAGCAGAUACGAAAGUAGGCGUUAGUGAUCCUCGAAUCCGCAGUGAUUGCGGAUCGGGCUUAACGAAUAAAAGCUACCCCGGGGAUAACAGGCUAGUCGCGUCCGAGCGUUCACAGCGACGACGCGGUUCGGCACCUCGAUGUCGGCUCAUCGUAUCCUGGAGGUGUAGUAGCUUCCAAGGGUUGGGCUGUUCGCCCAUUAAAACGGUACGCGAGCUGGGUUCAGAACGUCGUGAGACAGUAGACUUAUAAUGCUUAAACAUUAUUAACGUGCUGUGCUCUUUCCAUCGACUUCUAGAAUCUUCGAGAUUAGUGUUAUAUGGUCUUUUUGUAAAUUAAAUGUGGAAAUGUAAAUCUGACUAUUUGCUGGGAACUCCGAGUAUCUUGAACUACUCCGAUUAACAUCGUGAGUGAAAAUGUUGCAAGUGCGGAAAAUCAGCAGGAAAGGAUGGUUCAAACCAUCCGUCCUCAGAGACUAUACGUCAGAGUCCAGAUAUUUAUUAUCAGGAUAAGAUAUAGUCCGAACUGUAUGGCGACAUACAGAGCACUCAUAGAAAUAUGAUGCCUUGUAAUUUAUUACAAGUAACAUGUUUGUCGGUCUCUAUCCGGUGCAGGCGCUUUGAUUUUUGAGGGGACACUCUUCUAGUACGAGAGGACCGAAGAUGUGGAAAUCCCUGGUGUACCAGUUGUCCCAAAAGGGCAUCGCUGGGUAGCUAUAUUUCCUUUUGAUAAGCACUGAAUGCAUCUCAAGUGCGAAGCAUUCCCCAAGAUUAGAAAUCUUAAGUUUCCUCGAAGAAUACGAGGUUGAUAGGCGUCAAGUGUAAGCUCUGCAAGGAGUAUAGCUGAGACGUACUAAGUAACGUCUUCCGUCUCUUU
Molecule: ribosomal RNA, 3224 nt
Filed under: Candidatus Roizmanbacteria bacterium
Lineage: Bacteria; Candidatus Roizmaniibacteriota
Description: 23S ribosomal RNA
Rfam family: Bacterial large subunit ribosomal RNA
Source: RNAcentral